RNAcentral lists this ribosomal RNA (428 nucleotides) under uncultured bacterium. Its description in RNAcentral is "bacterial SSU rRNA". It matches the Rfam family "Bacterial small subunit ribosomal RNA", at positions 355 to 776 of the family's 1533-position model. The record is from RNAcentral.
UCGAGAAUUUUUCACAAUGGGCGCAAGCCUGAUGGAGCGACGCCGCGUGGGGGAUGAAUGGCUUCGGCCCGUAAACCCCUGUCAUUUGCGAUCAAACGCUGUAAUUUAAAAGAUGACAGCCUGAUAGUAGCGAAAGAGGAAGGGACGGCUAACUCUGUGCCAGCAGCCGCGGUAAUACAGAGGUCCCAAGCGUUGUUCGGAUUCACUGGGCGUAAAGGGUGCGUAGGUGGCGGGGUAAGUCGGAUGUGAAAUCUCCGAGCUCAACUCGGAAAUGGCAUUGGAAACUGCUCUGCUUGAGGGUUGGAGGGGGGACUGGAAUACUUGGUGUAGCAGUGAAAUGCGUAGAUAUCAAGUGGAACACCAGUGGCGAAGGCGAGUCCCUGGACAACUCCUGACACUGAGGCACGAAAGCUAGGGGAGCAAACAGG